GGUGUUUAGAGUCUAGUGCUUGGUUUAAUCAUAUUAGUGAAGAUUAUAAAGAAGCUUUAAAAUCCCAAGACUGGUGUUCAGUGCUAGGAUUGUUUGGAGAGCAUUCGUGAGAAAUCGAUUAUCAAACACACAGAGAAAGAGACAGUUCACUCAGCAAGUUAAGAGCUGAGGGAAGGGUUGGCUAACAUUGACUUGAAGCAAGUUCCACAAUCCAGGUGUAUGAACUAACUUUCUACCUUUUAGCAAGAAAAGGUUGCCAGCAGUCAAUAUGGAAGAAAUGGCAGAAAAGGAGAGACUGAGGAAGGAAGUUGCGCAGCUCCGCAGAGAAGCGGCACUGGAAAGAAUGAAGGUAUCCCAAUGUUGUGAAGACCUGCGGGAGUACGUCCUACAAAAUGCUGCCAAUGACCCACUGCUGAAGGGGGUCCCAGAUGACAAAAACCCCUACAAGGAGAUCAAGGGAGGCUGUGUGAUUUCAUAAAGAAAUAAAAAUAAAAAUCCCUGGAAUAUCUUGAGCUUUCAUGACAACAUUCAUUUUUCAUCCUAUGUCAUAGUAUCAUUAAGCAUGUGAAUGAAUUUUAAAAUUCAUUAGUAUAAAUCUUUAAUGAAAAUUGGCAUGUGAUAAUGUUAAGUCUAUGUUUUAAUAUGUUUAUUUAGCACAGGGUCUAAUGCAUCAUUGACAAUAAUGUUGACUGACCCCUUUCUUUGACAGUAACUACUGUGAUCUAUGAAUGAGUCUGUAUUAUGUUGGUUGCCAGCAUUUAGUUACUGUUUUAUGUUUCUUCACUUCCUUUUCAACACUCAUAAUAUUCCAUCUGGAAAUUUCAUGGUUAGACUUACAUAUUUUUUCAACUUUUCUCUUGCUGACUGAAUUAGCAAGUCUAUUCUUUUGAUUCAUAAGACUGAUCUUUGCAGAAUGUGUGCUGUGAAGAUUUUGGUUGUUGAUGGUUUGUUUUCUGUUUCUCUUUAUCUUUCAACCCAAAACGAGCAGUGAUGGUUUUAACAUUAACCUCUUCCUCCAUUCUUACCAGUUCUAGUUGUCAUCAAUGAUGUGACUUUCCCCUGGAAUGCCAACUGGAUCGAGGGUUCAGUGUAUGGUCACAGGGCACAGUAGGUGUAACCAGCACCAGAAUGAGGAUGAUGAGAAGCCAGACAGCUCGGGCUCUGGCACUCGACUGCCUAACUGACUUUGGAUAAAUGACUUAAGCUGUCUGAGUCUCAGUUUCUUCUACUGUAGAAUAAGGAAAGAAAUGGUGCUAUCCCCUUUGUCCUGGGGAUUAACUGUGAUACUAGGGUGACUAUAGCACUUAGCAUUUUGCCUGGCAUAGAGUAAGACCCACUAGGUGUUAGUUUAUUACUGGGAAAGGAACUGGACUACAUGCAUAGCAUCCCCAUGAUAACUCUCACCAGUCCCAUCUAUAGAAGGCAAGACGAUAGAAAAGUAGCUAUCCGCAUCCUCCUGCUAGUCGAUUUCUUCCUAGCUUCACCUUGAGUCUGCCUACGCUAGACCUCACUACCUUUGCGCUGCUAACGCCUCUGCUUCUGUAACAAGUGGCGAGUAUUAAUAGAUAACUAGAUAACUAUUUUUGCUGCGAGUAUUUCCUUGUUGCGCUCUUACAUUUACAGUGCUAUUUUUGUAAUAGAUUAGAAAUGCUAAUUAUUCUUUUAAAAAGAUAAGAAUUAGCUAUUAUUUUUUCUGAAAGAGAUCUAUUAUUGUAUGAAUAUUUAAAAUCGCUAGAGCAAAGAUGAAUAUAUGGAAGAAAGCCUUAUAAAUGUCCUCUAUUAUUAUUAACCCUACACACUUCCUGUUGUCAACACACUUAAAUAUUAAGUAAUCCCUCACAUGACUCCCCAUCUUCCAUCUAGAGUUUAGUCCUACGAAUCCCUCCACCUGAAAUGUUCCUCCGCUCCAUCUCAUUUCAGCCAUUUGAAAUCCUAUUUCUCUUCUGACGCUUAAUAAAAAUUAUCUCCUCUGUCCUUCACUCUAUUCCAAGAGUAAUGUGUAUUGUGUAUCUCUUAAGUGAUUUUACAUUAUUGUGCUUUCUCUUCUUAUAGCUUGUAUAGCUGUUUUAAUUUCAAUAACAUAUUGUAAAUUUCCCAAGCCGGAAGUUCCAUUCAUCUGUGUAACUGCUAAAUCAACUAAUAAAGUCUCUAAAAUUUAA
Long non-coding RNA from Myotis brandtii (Brandt's bat), 2159 nucleotides. RefSeq lists it as uncharacterized. The record is from RefSeq and is a predicted model, not a curated record. NCBI's taxonomy places the organism in Eukaryota, Metazoa, Chordata, Mammalia, Chiroptera, Vespertilionidae. The transcript is spliced from 2 exons.